Molecule: ribosomal RNA, 863 nt
Filed under: uncultured bacterium
Lineage: Bacteria
Description: bacterial SSU rRNA
Rfam family: Bacterial small subunit ribosomal RNA
Source: RNAcentral
CAAGUCGAACGGCAGCGCGGACUUCGGUCUGGCGGCGAGUGGCGAACGGGUGAGUAAUGUAUCGGAACGUGCCUAGUAGCGGGGGAUAACUACUCGAAAGAGUAGCUAAUACCGCAUACGCCCUACGGGGGAAAGGGGGGGAUCGCAAGACCUCUCACUAUUAGAGCGGCCGAUAUCGGAUUAGCUAGUUGGUGGGGUAAAGGCUCACCAAGGCGACGAUCCGUAGCUGGUUUGAGAGGACGACCAGCCACACUGGGACUGAGACACGGCCCAGACUCCUACGGGAGGCAGCAGUGGGGAAUUUUGGACAAUGGGGGAAACCCUGAUCCAGCCAUUCCGCGUGUGCGAUGAAGGCCUUCGGGUUGUAAAGCACUUUUGGCAGGAAAGAAAUCGCACGGGUUAAUAACCCGUGUGGAUGACGGUACCUGCAGAAUAAGCACCGGCUAACUACGUGCCAGCAGCCGCGGUAAUACGUAGGGUGCAAGCGUUAAUCGGAAUUACUGGGCGUAAAGCGUGCGCAGGCGGUUCGGAAAGAAGGAUGUGAAAUCCCAGGGCUUAACCUUGGAACUGCAUUCUUAACUACCGGGCUAGAGUAUGUCAGAGGGAGGUGGAAUUCCGCGUGUAGCAGUGAAAUGCGUAGAUAUGCGGAGGAACACCGAUGGCGAAGGCAGCCUCCUGGGAUAAUACUGACGCUCAUGCACGAAAGCGUGGGGGAGCAAACAGGAUUAGAUACCCUGGUAGUCCACGCCCUAAACGAUGUCAACUAGCUGUUGGGGCCUUCGGGCCUUAGUAGCGCAGCUAACGCGUGAAGUUGACCGCCUGGGGAGUACGGUCGCAAGAUUAAAACUCAAAGGAAUUGACGG